Schizosaccharomyces pombe (fission yeast) is the source of this 888-nucleotide non-coding RNA. The record is from the annotation of a GenBank genome assembly. NCBI's taxonomy places the organism in Eukaryota, Fungi, Ascomycota, Schizosaccharomycetes, Schizosaccharomycetales, Schizosaccharomycetaceae.
GGGGGAAGCGUAAUGGCUGUUCCUGGUCGAGAGGGUUUACGACGUGGUAACGAAGGUGGUCGUUCUUCAUAUGCGGAUUCCAAAGUAGCAGCAGUAGAUCUUCUUGGAGAAGGAUAAAUUUUAGAAGGUGCAGAAUACUUUUCAUCAUCAUCGUCUUCUUCCUCACCAUCAAAUUUGGAAGCGAUAUUCUCCACCCAUUCCAUACUUCUUUGCUUAAAUGAUUGGAAUCCACGCAUAAAUGUAUCUUUGAUGACUGGAAGAUCGUCUUCAAAAAACGAAUAAUCAUCUCCAUCGUUGUCAUUGGGCUUUGCUGUACGGUUUUGCGGAGGGUAAUUCCUACGAUCAUUGUUUGUUUUGCGCCUACGUUCUGGACGAUGGCUGUUGUAACGAUUAGCAAGCUCUCUGGCACAUCUCUCGUCUUCCUCAAGCUGUCGUUGCACUGGAUCGUCAUGUGCGGCUGUGUCAUAAGCAUAAGAAGUUUCAGCUUGUUCCAUUUCUUCAGCAACUUGAGGAUCACUCAAACCUAUUAUGGUUAGAAAUGAACGUUGACUAUUGCAUUCAUAAAACUUUUCAAGCACGAUAUUCUUUAGGGAGCAAACAAACGCGAACUAUGAGCCACACUUUAAGAUAUCAAAUGAAAUCAAUAAGGUAAAGCUUCAAAAACAAAGUGAAUAGCACAUUACAGAUCGUUCACAGUACAUCCCCAAAGACACGAAAUAUAUGUGUAGCCUAAUACUUACCAAGCAAUGCGUUGAAAGCAGGCUCUAACUUAUAUCCGCUAGCUGCUAGGACUGCUCGAAUAAUUGCAUCCUAUAGAUAAAUAUAUGUUAGAUAUGUAGCAAUGAAAGUAAACUUAGAGAGUUUUGGUAACAUGCAGACUAAUCUGAA